UAUUUUAGAAACAAUUAUUAUGAGUGAACUGAAUUAGUUUUCUCUUCCCCUCAAAGUCUCAAACCUUUUAUAAUCAAGCUCCCCAAAAGUCAAUCUCAUCUAGCUAAUUGCUUUCAAACAACUUGAUUGUGUUUUUUUGGGUUACUUUUUUAAGCAAUAAACCAGUUUUGCUGUUAGUUUUGUCCAAGUUACAUUUUUCUUGGUUUUCAGUGAAGAGGAAACUAAGGAGAAUAUUUUUUCAGUAUUUCCCGUGACUAUGAGAUGUACUUUAGACUUGGAUGCGAGAUUGAUGAGGAGACACCUGAUAAGCUAGAAGUUUUUCAGAGCUAAGGUUGAAUCCUUAUUGGCCAGAGACAUGGAGACAUCUAUUAACAACACUACAAAGGAAGGGAGAUCAAUUAUCUCUACUGUUGAUACAUUGAUACACUAUACCCCUCUUCCUGUAGUUUUGUUGCCUUCAGUUCACUGCAUAUGCUUAGUCUGAGAAAGAGGGACAUUUAAAGUUUUUCUUGGUCACAACUCGCUUGCUUACACGGUUGAAAUUUCAUGUGGUGAACUGUUUAUGCUUUGUCUGAAAGACUUCUAAAGUAGAUUAAUAGAUCCUAAAGUAUAAUUUCAGCGGUGUUAGCUUGGCAUGGGCUCAAGAUGCAAGUUCAUUAUUUUACACUAUGUUAGAUGAAAGCAGUGGCCUAACAGGGUUUUUUGUAAAAAUACUUGGAUAUGAUCCUAUGAAUGAUUUUGCAAUAUUUAUAGAAAGUGAUUCCAAUUAUUGCGUGGAAAUAACAAGCACAAAAGAUGGCAAGUUCACAACUGUUAACUUGAACUUAAGGACUUCAUUGGAGGAAGGAAGUAGACAAAAUGAAAAAGCCAACUCUUUUUUGUGGGUUUGUGAGUGUGUCACCAUUUUGCUGAGAAAAAUUGGUGUGAGUGCUGCAUCAGAGGGAGAAUUGGGAUAUUUGAAUAAAGGUGCCCCUUGGAGCAGUUGCUUUUAUGUACUUAUCAUUUACUUCUCUUUGUUUCUGGUUAGAUAAUGUUAUUCACCAAUCACAUGUACCUUAAGGUGAUUGGAGCUUCACAAAUAUAAUUUUAGAUGUGGUUAGGUUACAUUCUAUAUGAAUACUUGAUUCAUUUUCUAUAUAUUUUUGCAUUCCAUGGA
This is an RNA transcript of Lotus japonicus, 1156 nucleotides long. RefSeq lists it as uncharacterized. The transcript is spliced from 4 exons. NCBI's taxonomy places the organism in Eukaryota, Viridiplantae, Streptophyta, Magnoliopsida, Fabales, Fabaceae. The record is from RefSeq and is a predicted model, not a curated record.